GUUCUGCUGACUCUUAGAGCCUCUCAG
Molecule: non-coding RNA, 27 nt
Filed under: Cricetulus griseus (Chinese hamster)
Lineage: Eukaryota; Metazoa; Chordata; Mammalia; Rodentia; Cricetidae
Source: RNAcentral